CUCUCCAAGGGAGAGAGGUUGGCUCUUGCUCGCCACGUCCUCGGGGCCAUGCCGCUGCACAUCAUGAUGGCCAUGGCUCUUACUCCACCCAUCCUAAAGUAGCUGAACCGAUUGGUCCGUUCCUUUCUCUGGCGCGGACGCAAGGAGGCCAACGGAGGCCACUUGCUCUUCAAUUGGUGCACGGUCUGUCGCCCUAUUUCGCUCGGAGGCCUUGGCAUCCCAGACUUCCAGCGUGCAGGGAUUGCACUCCGAACUCGUUGGCUAUGGCUCCAAGCGACAGAUCCUUCCCGGCAUUGGCACCACCUGCACAUGCCGAUCUGCCUUGAGACCCAGGCCAUCUUCCGUGCUGCCACGUCAUGGGCCCUCGGAGACGGCCGCUCCUGCCGCUUCUGGGUUGACCCUUGGCUCGACAUCAUGUCUAUUGCGGAGCUCGCCCUGCUAAUCUUCGCCAAGGUGUCGCGACGUCGGUGCAAGAUCCCUUCGUUUCGCGAUGCCCUUGCCGAUCGCUCUUGGGCGCGGGACAUCUCUGGGUCCUUGGGGCCGGCGGCUCUGUUUCAGUACGUCCACCUUUGGUAG
This 576-nucleotide ribosomal RNA is filed under the name Triticum aestivum (bread wheat). Its description in RNAcentral is "partial small subunit ribosomal RNA". The record is from RNAcentral. Lineage: Eukaryota; Viridiplantae; Streptophyta; Magnoliopsida; Poales; Poaceae.